Long non-coding RNA from Panicum hallii, 2192 nucleotides. RefSeq lists it as uncharacterized. The record is from RefSeq and is a predicted model, not a curated record. NCBI's taxonomy places the organism in Eukaryota, Viridiplantae, Streptophyta, Magnoliopsida, Poales, Poaceae. The transcript is spliced from 4 exons.
CCAGACUGCGUCCGCUCGUCUCCCCCUCUCCCCGACCGCAGAUUGCUCCCUGCCUCGAGCCUCCCUCAGUCAGUCCGCUGUCCGCGCCUAGGGUUCGGGGGUGGCGCCGCGGUGGCUGGCGGCGCGCCGGCGGCAGCACUGCUGCGAGCUGCCGAGCUACUACCAGCGCACGCCGCGGAGCUAGACUUCAGGAGGGCCGAGGGCAUGACGUGCGUGCGUGCUGGCAGCUAGCCUGCGAUUGCCUACUGCAAUUCGCAAAUUUGCAAGCUUCGACGAAUCGACGGAGCCACAGUCCACAGAGGCAAGCAGCGUGCGUGGUCCAAGCCCGCUCGUGGAUGACUGUGCUGCGAUCCCUGCACUGUGGCAGGCCCUGUCGGCCGGAGCAGCUAUCUUCUGUGCGAGACGAGUAGAGUAACCACAGCCACAAUUACUCCCAUUUUUUUUGAUAAUCACAUCUACUCCCAUGUUAAUUACUAUAACUUGGAAUGGAUCACCAAAGCCUUUGACUCGAGAGGUACUGCGGUCUGUGGUGCUCAUCGGUCGCUGCUACGAGCUUUCAUGGAGUAUGCUACUAGCAUCUAGCUUGAAAAGAUUUCCAUUUCAUUCAUUUUAACUGUGUGACUGUAACUGUACGCAUGCUAACCGGAAUCAUGCGUGUGGGGUUCUAGAUUGUUGCUGUUUUUAUUACCCACAGGUCAAAAAGGUACGCCCAGGAAGAAGGGGUACGGUUGAGGCAGUCCAACCUUUUUGUCAGUAGCAGAACUCAUCAGAGGCCAGUGGCCAGGUCCAGGUGCUCUUUACAGGAAAGAGGUACUAGUAGACUGUGAAAGGAAGCGGUGUCAGAAGCGUGAAGUAGCACAGUGCUCGCCGUACGUGGUGUGGUGGAGAGGAGACGGAGCAUGCGCGCUCGAUGGCAGAUGCAGAACGUACCGUUUGUUUUCCGUCGCCGUGGGCCCGCCAUGCCUAUGCUCCUCGAUCGAUCCCUUGACUCCAUAGCAGCAACGGACACCGGCACGUCCCAAAUUGUUCCGGCUUCCCUGUCGCCUUCCCAUCUUGAUCAUGCGUAUGCAAGCUGCUUCGAUUGGAUGACAGGAGCAGCUCACGAGCUCCCCUGCGGCUCUGUUUGGUCCGUCACAGCCUAAUCAAUCUCCCUCCCUCCCUCCCUCCCUCUCAGAAUAUGGAAAGAAAAAAAUGCUUACAUGUACUAUGGCCGUGCGUGCAAAGCGAGGCAGAUGAUCAGAGGAGACAAGUUUUGGGACGCUGCUGGUGGUCUGGACGUGAUGGUGUUCGUACUAGCAGAGGGCAGCGGUUAAUCAGGCACGACGAGCUGACAAGUUUCGGUUGUUGCCGCCUGCCGCGUGGCCGUCCACCUGGGCGCCUAGUGCCUGGCCGCUCAGGCCUAGGGCGCCGGCUGCCUGGGCGCCAGCAGGCAGGGAGCUGAGGCCCUGGGCGCCGGCGGAUGCCUGCAGGGCGCCAGCAGCCUGAGCUGUGAGGCCAUGGGCACCGGCUGCCUGGGCGUUGAGGCCCUAGGCGCCGACUGCCUCUGGGCCGAGCGCCUGGGUGUCGGCUGCCUGAGGGGGCCCCGGCCAUGGCCCCGUGCCCUAGCGCGUCGAGAUCCUAGCCGCUAGGGACGGGUGUUCUGGUGGCGGGAGCGGGCGGCAGGAAGGGCCGGCGACUCAUUUUGUCGGCGACCUCCGGCCACGGAUGCUCCGAAGGGAGAGGGCGGCGGCGCCCUAGAUGGACCUGGCGGCGAGGAACAUGAAGCCGCGGCGGGGAAGAAGAAAGGUCGGGGGCAGAAGGGGGCGAGGGCGUCGAGGUUUUUUUUUGCCGAAAUGGUACCUCCUGUAAUAUUAUUGGUGGGAAAUUACCCUACAACUUCACGAGAAGGUAUGAAAAUAGAAUUUCUAGAGCACCCUUUAAGGAGCUCCCCAAUCCCCAAAAUUCAUGGAGCUAGCCCGUAGCUCUAUAUUUUUUUUUUCCGGAGUCGGAGUUCGUGGAGCUGAAUUUAGGAGUGGAGCUGAAAAACUUGGAGCGAAGCGGUCCACCCUUAUCCUUGGCCGGCAGGGGUAAGAGAUGGUUUUUCAGUUUGCUGUUCUCUUCUCUGCAUGCCUUCUUGCCCCAGUUCACUCAUGACACUUGCACUUCAAUUCUGAAUCAGGCGCAAGCCACGUUCUGUCCAUGUCAACAGCCAG